CGACCUGGCCCUCGUGCUGGCCCGCCUCCACCGAGCCAACCCUGCGCCGGAGCUCUUCCUUCCCCGACCUUCUUCCCCGCUGACGCACCCACACCCCGACCGGCAGCAAAGCAUCCCACCCGAGCGGACGCGCUCCUUGCCCACAGACCGGCGCCGACGCGGCCCCGCGCCCAACUUCUCCCUCCAGUCGUCGUCCUACGUCCCGCCGCGUCGAUCCCUCGCCGGGUCGAUGCAUCCCACGGCUGGGACCUUCGAUCCCCGUCGGAUCUGGGCCGAAGGUUGCGGCUGCUUCGGCUGGCCCCUGCAAAUUCCAACCAUCGACGACGCCCCUGCUCGUUGUGGACUCGUGGACCUAUGAAUCCACAAGUCAACAUGUAGUGCCGGAGCAUGGGCUGCAUCGGCAAGGUCGACAAGGCCAUCAGGCCAUGGCCUUCGUGAGAACCUUCACAGAGGUGGAAAUGGCGGUGGGAGAUGUCGGCACUGGAGUCGUGGCCGUGGCGGGGAAGAUGAAGCGGGCGGAGCUAUGCCAGUGGCUCAAGAGGAAGACAAGGAAGGAUGUGAAGAUUUUUUGUCCUCGUCCACCGGCUGAGAAUCUUGUUAAGCAGGACCCCCAAACAAAACCUUUCCAAGCUAUCAAAGUAAUGCCCAAGUAAGGAAACCUCUACCAGCAAUCACCUACUCUCCAGGACGCAGUACAAAACAUUGCAGGAUAUUAGAGAAAUGAGGGAAAACGCAAUGGGAGAAAAGUUUGCACCCACGAUGAACAAAGGUCCUUUCGAUGGGGUGGAUUCACUGCCCCCGUCCUCCUUUUGCAUGUGGGAGAAGAAAAGAAGAAGAGUGUGGGGACAGGUGGGGAGAGAAGAAGAAAGGAGGGAGGGGCCAAUGGGCGCAGGGGCAGUUGAGAGGAGAGAAGCUGGGUGGAAGGGGGGACAUGGGAGACGGUCGUCUCUUUACUUUCCAAAUCUGUAUUGAGGGGGGACC
Long non-coding RNA from Triticum dicoccoides, 981 nucleotides. RefSeq lists it as uncharacterized. The transcript is spliced from 5 exons. NCBI's taxonomy places the organism in Eukaryota, Viridiplantae, Streptophyta, Magnoliopsida, Poales, Poaceae. The record is from RefSeq and is a predicted model, not a curated record.